ACCUACGGCCAUGCCACCCUGAAUAACCUCGAUCCUGUCUGAUCUUGGAAGCUAAGCAGGGUCGGGCCUUGUUAGUACUUGAAUAGGAGACUACCUAGGAAGACCAAGUGAUGUAGGCA
RNAcentral lists this ribosomal RNA (119 nucleotides) under Pteropus alecto (black flying fox). The record is from RNAcentral. Lineage: Eukaryota; Metazoa; Chordata; Mammalia; Chiroptera; Pteropodidae.